RNAcentral lists this ribosomal RNA (292 nucleotides) under uncultured bacterium. RNAcentral describes it as "partial 16S ribosomal RNA". The record is from RNAcentral.
GGACUACUAGGGUUUCUAAUCCCGUUCGCUCCCCACGCUGUCGUGUCUGAAUGUCGGAGCCAGGCCAGGAGGCCGCCUUCGCCUCUGGGGUUCUGCCGGAUCUCUACGCAUUUCACCACUACACCCGGCAUUCCACCUCCCUCUCCUGCUCCCUAGACCGGCAGUCUGGCAUAACCCGCCCAGGUUGAGCCUGGGGCUUUCAUACACCACUUACCCGCCCAUCUGCACACGCUUUACGCCCAGUAAAUCCGGAUAACGCUCGCCACCUACGUUUUACCGCGGCUGCUGGCAC